Molecule: non-coding RNA, 195 nt
Organism: Vicia faba (fava bean)
Lineage: Eukaryota; Viridiplantae; Streptophyta; Magnoliopsida; Fabales; Fabaceae
Source: the annotation of a GenBank genome assembly
AUGAAAGUUCAACCGCCCAUAAACAACCAAUCAUCCAUCACAACUAGCUAUUCAGAUUCGGGCCCAUACCCCCCAAAUAAAGUCUUCAACUCCAACUCCACAUCUGCUGAACUUCUAACCAUCCACUCAUGUCAGCAGCAGUACUUAACAAAAUUAGACUAUUGUGCAAUAACGACGAGUCCAUCCACUGUUUAA